RNAcentral lists this ribosomal RNA (2901 nucleotides) under Escherichia coli. RNAcentral describes it as "23S ribosomal RNA". It matches the Rfam family "Bacterial large subunit ribosomal RNA". The record is from RNAcentral. Lineage: Bacteria; Pseudomonadati; Pseudomonadota; Gammaproteobacteria; Enterobacterales; Enterobacteriaceae.
GGUUAAGCGACUAAGCGUACACGGUGGAUGCCCCGGCAGUCAGAGGCGAUGAAGGACGUGCUAAUCUGCGAUAAGCGUCGGUAAGGUGAUAUGAACCGUUAUAACCGGCGAUUUCCGAAUGGGGAAACCCAGUGUGAUUCGUCACACUAUCAUUAACUGAAUCCAUAGGUUAAUGAGGCGAACCGGGGGAACUGAAACAUCUAAGUACCCCGAGGAAAAGAAAUCAACCGAGAUUCCCCCAGUAGCGGCGAGCGAACGGGGAGCAGCCCAGAGCCUGAAUCAGUGUGUGUGUUAGUGGAAGCGUCUGGAAAGGCGCGCGAUACAGGGUGACAGCCCCGUACACAAAAAUGCACAUGCUGUGAGCUCGAUGAGUAGGGCGGGACACGUGGUAUCCUGUCUGAAUAUGGGGGACCAUCCUCCAAGGCUAAAUACUCCUGACUGACCGAUAGUGAACCAGUACCGUGAGGGAAAGGCGAAAAGAACCCCGGCGAGGGGAGUGAAAAAGAACCUGAAACCGUGUACGUACAAGCAGUGGGAGCACGCUUAGGCGUGUGACUGCGUACCUUUUGUAUAAUGGGUCAGCGACUUAUAUUCUGUAGCAAGGUUAACCGAAUAGGGGAGCCGAAGGGAAACCGAGUCUUAACUGGGCGUUAAGUUGCAGGGUAUAGACCCGAAACCCGGUGAUCUAGCCAUGGGCAGGUUGAAGGUUGGGUAACACUAACUGGAGGACCGAACCGACUAAUGUUGAAAAAUUAGCGGAUGACUUGUGGCUGGGGGUGAAAGGCCAAUCAAACCGGGAGAUAGCUGGUUCUCCCCGAAAGCUAUUUAGGUAGCGCCUCGUGAAUUCAUCUCCGGGGGUAGAGCACUGUUUCGGCAAGGGGGUCAUCCCGACUUACCAACCCGAUGCAAACUGCGAAUACCGGAGAAUGUUAUCACGGGAGACACACGGCGGGUGCUAACGUCCGUCGUGAAGAGGGAAACAACCCAGACCGCCAGCUAAGGUCCCAAAGUCAUGGUUAAGUGGGAAACGAUGUGGGAAGGCCCAGACAGCCAGGAUGUUGGCUUAGAAGCAGCCAUCAUUUAAAGAAAGCGUAAUAGCUCACUGGUCGAGUCGGCCUGCGCGGAAGAUGUAACGGGGCUAAACCAUGCACCGAAGCUGCGGCAGCGACGCUGAUGCGUUGUUGGGUAGGGGAGCGUUCUGUAAGCCUGCGAAGGUGUGCUGUGAGGCAUGCUGGAGGUAUCAGAAGUGCGAAUGCUGACAUAAGUAACGAUAAAGCGGGUGAAAAGCCCGCUCGCCGGAAGACCAAGGGUUCCUGUCCAACGUUAAUCGGGGCAGGGUGAGUCGACCCCUAAGGCGAGGCCGAAAGGCGUAGUCGAUGGGAAACAGGUUAAUAUUCCUGUACUUGGUGUUACUGCGAAGGGGGACGGAGAAGGCUAUGUUGGCCGGGCGACGGUUGUCCCGGUUUAAGCGUGUAGGCUGGUUUUCCAGGCAAAUCCGGAAAACUAAGGCUGAGGCGUGAUGACGAGGCACUACGGUGCUGAAGCAACAAAUGCCCUGCUUCCAGGAAAAGCCUCUAAGCAUCAGGUAACAUCAAAUCGUACCCCAAACCGACACAGGUGGUCAGGUAGAGAAUACCAAGGCGCUUGAGAGAACUCGGGUGAAGGAACUAGGCAAAAUGGUGCCGUAACUUCGGGAGAAGGCACGCUGAUAUGUAGGUGAAGUCCCUCGCGGAUGGAGCUGAAAUCAGUCGAAGAUACCAGCUGGCUGCAACUGUUUAUUAAAAACACAGCACUGUGCAAACACGAAAGUGGACGUAUACGGUGUGACGCCUGCCCGGUGCCGGAAGGUUAAUUGAUGGGGUUAGCGCAAGCGAAGCUCUUGAUCGAAGCCCCGGUAAACGGCGGCCGUAACUAUAACGGUCCUAAGGUAGCGAAAUUCCUUGUCGGGUAAGUUCCGACCUGCACGAAUGGCGUAAUGAUGGCCAGGCUGUCUCCACCCGAGACUCAGUGAAAUUGAACUCGCUGUGAAGAUGCAGUGUACCCGCGGCAAGACGGAAAGACCCCGUGAACCUUUACUAUAGCUUGACACUGAACAUUGAGCCUUGAUGUGUAGGAUAGGUGGGAGGCUUUGAAGUGUGGACGCCAGUCUGCAUGGAGCCGACCUUGAAAUACCACCCUUUAAUGUUUGAUGUUCUAACGUUGACCCGUAAUCCGGGUUGCGGACAGUGUCUGGUGGGUAGUUUGACUGGGGCGGUCUCCUCCUAAAGAGUAACGGAGGAGCACGAAGGUUGGCUAAUCCUGGUCGGACAUCAGGAGGUUAGUGCAAUGGCAUAAGCCAGCUUGACUGCGAGCGUGACGGCGCGAGCAGGUGCGAAAGCAGGUCAUAGUGAUCCGGUGGUUCUGAAUGGAAGGGCCAUCGCUCAACGGAUAAAAGGUACUCCGGGGAUAACAGGCUGAUACCGCCCAAGAGUUCAUAUCGACGGCGGUGUUUGGCACCUCGAUGUCGGCUCAUCACAUCCUGGGGCUGAAGUAGGUCCCAAGGGUAUGGCUGUUCGCCAUUUAAAGUGGUACGCGAGCUGGGUUUAGAACGUCGUGAGACAGUUCGGUCCCUAUCUGCCGUGGGCGCUGGAGAACUGAGGGGGCUGCUCCUAGUACGAGAGGACCGGAGUGGACGCAUCACUGGUGUUCGGGUUGUCAUGCCAAUGGCACUGCCCGGUAGCUAAAUGCGGAAGAGAUAAGUGCUGAAAGCAUCUAAGCACGAAACUUGCCCCGAGAUGAGUUCUCCCUGACUCCUUGAGAGUCCUGAAGGAACGUUGAAGACGACGACGUUGAUAGGCCGGGUGUGUAAGCGCAGCGAUGCGUUGAGCUAACCGGUACUAAUGAACCGUGAGGCUUAACCUU